This 23-nucleotide microRNA is filed under the name Cordylochernes scorpioides. Lineage: Eukaryota; Metazoa; Arthropoda; Arachnida; Pseudoscorpiones; Chernetidae. The record is from RNAcentral.
AUCACAGCCACUUUUGAUGAGCC